RNAcentral lists this ribosomal RNA (406 nucleotides) under uncultured bacterium. RNAcentral describes it as "partial 16S ribosomal RNA". It matches the Rfam family "Bacterial small subunit ribosomal RNA", at positions 29 to 526 of the family's 1533-position model. The record is from RNAcentral.
AUUGAACGCUGGCGGCAGGCCUAACACAUGCAAGUCGAACGAGUGGCGGACGGGUGAGUAAUGGCUGGGAAACUGCCUGAUGGAGGGGGAUAACUACUGGAAACGGUAGCUAAUAACGCAUACCAUCGGAUGUGCCCAGAUGGGAUGAGCUAGUAGGUGGGGUAACGGGUCACCUAGGCGACGAUCCCUCGCUGGUCUGAGAGGAUGACCAGACACACGGGAACAGAGACACGGGGCAGCAUCCUACGGGAGGCAGCAGUGGGGAAUAGUGGACAAUGGGCGCAAGCCUUAUGCAGCCAUGCCGCGUGUAGGAAGAAGGCCUUAGGGUUGUAAAGUACUUUCAGCGGGGAAGCGGUACCCGCAGAAGAAGCACCGGCUAACUCCGUGCCAGCAGCCGCGGUAAUAC